This 218-nucleotide long non-coding RNA is filed under the name Capsella rubella. Its description in RNAcentral is "long non-coding RNA (CRUB_LNC000798)". Lineage: Eukaryota; Viridiplantae; Streptophyta; Magnoliopsida; Brassicales; Brassicaceae. The record is from RNAcentral.
AAAGAAGAAGGUGGUGAAGAGUGUUCUGACUUGUCACGGACAGAACCUUACAUAACACAUUAGAUUUGUGGUUCCAUAUGAUGACGUGCCUCAGUCACGCCUCCACGUGCACAUUAUUCCACUCCCCACUACAUAAAUGUAAUUCUAGAAAAAAAAAGAAAAAAGAAUAAUAAAACUCAAGUUUCAGGACCAUAUACAAUAAGAACGUGUAAAAAAAC